RNAcentral lists this long non-coding RNA (1529 nucleotides) under Chinchilla lanigera (long-tailed chinchilla). RNAcentral's name for it is "lncRNA (ENSCLAG00000025503.1)". Lineage: Eukaryota; Metazoa; Chordata; Mammalia; Rodentia; Chinchillidae. The record is from RNAcentral.
UGCAAAGCAGGCAGGAAGUAGGUUUCCAGCGAUGGCCCAGGGGUCCCCAGAACCUGGUGCAUCUCACUGUGGUCUGUUCCGUGCGUGCGCCCCAGACGCCUCUCUCAUCACCAUGUGGCUCUUCACAGAGCUCCCAGAUGCUGCCCAGCUGCUGGGCACUCUUUCUCGGGAGCCUCAGCCGCAUGCACCAGCUAGGGCCCCCAGCAGUGAUUCUGCCUCUCUCCUGUUCCUACACACCUGAAUGCUGCAUCCUUAGAUUUCUUCCCCAUCCUGCUCUUCCAAUGCAGCCAGGCACUCAGGAAAGGAGAAACCGAGACGUGUCGAUCGAUGCUGGAGAGCCACACUGUAACCAGAGAAAGGACAGGAGGCCACCAAGGUCAGGAGGGGGACCCCAGGUCUGGGGCUGCAGGCUUGAGAAAGGGCUGAGGAGGCAGAGCCGGGGGGCGAUGUAUCAGCGACCGAAGGGAACCAGCCGACAGCUCGCACUGGGGAGCAGAGAACGGAAGGACCAGCUGGCUCUCCCCAGACCCCAGCGUCUUCCGGGUCCUGGGAGUGUCCAUCACAAAGGGAUCUUGAAGAAGCCCCGAGAGAACUGUGCCAUUUUCAAGGCCCCACCAGAAGUUAGGUGUGGGGCCAGUCGUUCUCAGAGGAAAAAUGGCAAAGUCACCAUGACCCCACUGAAGGACACACAGACAGCUUGGUGUAGGACACCCUUCUUCAUUUCCAGGGGAGAAAGUAUCUGUGGCAGUUCCAACUAUCUAGGUCACCAAGGCCAAACCUCCGGAAUGGUUUGGGGUUGUUUGUUUCCUAAAGCAGCAGUCGCUGACCUGGACCAGGGACGCUCCAGAAGUCACCCAGGAGUGGAAAAAUAUCGACGGUAACCUGGGCAUCGUGGAGCAGAACAGAAGGGAGAUAUGUUCAAGCCGGGUGGCAAGGGUAAGAGCAGUCUUUGCAAGGGAAGCCUCAGUGAUGGCGUGCCCCUGACAGUCAGGUUGGACGCGGUCGCUAAGGUGGCCAGGACCCCGGAGUCAUUCACAUGCGGGCUGCAGCGUGGGCCGGCUUCAAGUGCACACACGUUACGAGCUCUAAAGUCACAGCAAAUUUGAUUCUGUUUCUGCUCCCACCUGGUUAUUUUUUAAAGCAGGAACGCUGAGACCAGAGUGAUUGCUUCAAAAUCUGGGUCACCUGGGGACGAUGUCACUCCUGCCCGCCUCCACGGCCGCCGUCAGGACCCUCGCCCUGGGCGGGUGCUCAGGAAGCAUCUGCGGUGCCGGAGGCGAAGGCAGAGUCGGGACCGGCGGCGAGAGGAGACAUGGGUGAACAGGCCCAUGGGAUGAGGCAGGGGCCAGUCAGGAGCAGCCAGGCUACCCUGAAACAAACAGCCCCACACGUCAGAGGACCAAGACAAGGUUAUUUCUCAUUCCUGCUGCCUCCUCAAGGGUGUGAGGUGUACACUAAAACAUACAAAAAUAAACACAAACAAUGACAGAAAAAUUUUACACUCUCAGGCUUUAUAAAGUCAGCAGCCG